AAUGAACGCUGGCGGCAGGCCUAACACAUGCAAGUCGAACGGAUCCUUCGGGAUUAGUGGCGGACGGGUGAGUAACGCGUGGGAACAUACCCAAAGGUACGGAAUAGCCUCGGGAAACUGGGAGUAAUACCGUAUGUGGUCGAGAGACGAAAGAUUUAUCGCCAAAGGAUUGGCCCGCGUUGGAUUAGGUAGUUGGGGGGGUAAUGGCCUACCAAGCCGACGAUCCAUAGCUGGUUUGAGAGGAUGAUCAGCCACACUGGGACUGAGACACGGCCCAGACUCCUACGGGAGGCAGCAGUGGGGAAUCUUAGACAAUGGGGGAAACCCUGAUCUAGCCAUGCCGCGUGAUCGAUGAAGGCCUUAGGGUUGUAAAGAUCUUUCAGGUGGGAAGAUAAUGACUGUACCACCAGAAGAAGCCCCGGCUAACUCCGUGCCAGCCGCCGCAGUAA
RNAcentral lists this ribosomal RNA (449 nucleotides) under uncultured bacterium. RNAcentral's name for it is "partial 16S ribosomal RNA". It matches the Rfam family "Bacterial small subunit ribosomal RNA", at positions 29 to 523 of the family's 1533-position model. The record is from RNAcentral.